Molecule: ribosomal RNA, 429 nt
Filed under: uncultured bacterium
Lineage: Bacteria
Description: bacterial SSU rRNA
Rfam family: Bacterial small subunit ribosomal RNA
Source: RNAcentral
UAGGGAAUAUUGCGCAAUGGAGGAAACUCUGACGCAGCGACGCCGCGUGGGUGACGAAGGUUUUCGGAUCGUAAAGCCCUGUCGGAAGAGACGAAAAAUGGGGAGGCUAACAUCCUCCUCACUUGACGGUACCUUCAAAGGAAGCACCGGCUAACUACGUGCCAGCAGCCGCGGUAAUACGUAGGGUGCUAGCGUUGUUCGGAAUCAUUGGGCGUAAAGCGCGUGUAGGUGGCUAGUUAAGUCGAGUGUGAAAUCCCUGGGCUCAACCGAGGAAGUGCAUUCGAAACUAAUUAGCUCGAGAAUGGUAGAGGAAGGUGGAAUUCCGUGUGUAGAGGUGAAAUUCGUAGAUAUACGGAGGAAUACCGGUGGCGAAGGCGGCCUUCUGGACCAUUUCUGACACUGAGACGCGAAAGCGUGGGGAGCAAACAG